GAUGAAGAACGUAGCGAAAUGCGACACUUGGUGUGAAUUGCAGAAUCCCGUGAACCAUCGAGUCUUUGAACGCAAGUUGCGCCCGAAGCCAUUAGGCCGAGGGCACGCCUGCCUGGGCGUCACACGUCGUUGCCCCCCCAUCUAAUCCUUCGGGAUUGCGGGGGGCGGAUGAUGGCCUCCCGUGCGCCUCGUCGCGCGGUUGGCAUAAAUGCCAAGUCCUCGGCGACGCACGCCACGACAAUCGGUGGUUGCGAAACCUCGGUUGCCCGUCGUGUGCGGUCGUCGCGCAUCGAGGGCUCGAAAAAAUUGCCGGGCUCCGGCUCGACUUUCAACGCGACCCCAGGUCAGGCGGGGUUACCCGCUGAAUUUAAGCAUAUCAAUAAGCGGAGGA
This 391-nucleotide unclassified non-coding RNA is filed under the name soil metagenome. Its description in RNAcentral is "partial contains 5.8S ribosomal RNA, internal transcribed spacer 2, and large subunit ribosomal RNA". The stretch from base 1 to 122 matches the Rfam family "5.8S ribosomal RNA", at positions 35 to 154 of the family's 154-position model. The record is from RNAcentral.